Long non-coding RNA from Rattus norvegicus (Norway rat), 16290 nucleotides. RefSeq lists it as uncharacterized. Lineage: Eukaryota; Metazoa; Chordata; Mammalia; Rodentia; Muridae. The record is from RefSeq and is a predicted model, not a curated record.
CCUGAAACAGAAAGAAAAAUGUGUUGGGAGGGUAACUUUGGAAAUCCCAUACAGUACUGUUACUGUGCCCCUGUGGGACUGGUAGACUCAGCAGACUUGUGGGCAGUAGGUGAGGACCAGGCUGGGUGCAGUCCAGCACUGGAGACCGAGGCAGGAGGAUCAGCUGGGGUUCCAGGCCAGACAGGGCUAGAGAGAGAUGCUGUCUGAAGGAAAUGAAGCAAGAGGUCCAGCUAGACGGUUCAGUGGGUAGACAUUGUUAGUGACCCAAGUUCAAUCCUGGGGAUUCAUCGUAGAGAACAGAUUCAUGCAAGAUGGCCUCUCACCUUCGUAUCUCCCUCCUUUCCCUGGAGUUUUAACAAAUGCCUGUGUGUUUUGCUUUGUGGCAAAGCUGUGGUUGGUCCUGGAUUAUUUUUUUAUCUGGUUCUCCCGCUGAGUACUGCCAGCCUAGGUUCUGGAGUUUGCCAGCCACGCUCUGUGGUGCUCCCUGGGAUACUCUGUAAGGCCCCUUUUUUCUGUCAUUCAUUUUAUAUUCUCUAACUCCCGUAUUUUCUUGCCGUCUUACUGACAGAAUAGACUCAUAAUACAGAAGAGAUAUGCCUAUCAGUUCUGUACAGAGAAAUGCUUAUGUUGUAUCAAUGCCUACACGUUUUAAGGGUCAAAUAUAAUCACCAUGUACAUGUAGAGCUUGGAAAGGCACCAGGGAGAAAGCAAGCUGUGCACAGCUUUCCAGAGCAUCGGUGUACUGUGCUAUUACUCGGCUUUUCUGUCUCUCCCAAUUGUUGCAAAUGUGGAAUCCUGGCACAUCACCACCUACUUCCUGUAGAGAGCUGUAGGAAUGCUUUAGUGUUGCACACACAGUGACCACUUCCUUUUUCCCAUCUCCUGGCAGCAGCAUUCUGAGUCGCAGCAUUUAUCUAACAGAGAUAACAACUAAAACCCCUCUAGGGAAUUCUCACUUCUUGCUUCCUCUGCUUCCUGGUGUUUGCCUAUUUAGUGCCAGCAGGGACCCACAUACGCUGUGAUGUUCAAGUAAAGGGAUUCCAUCUCUAGGUAGGGGAUGCCUUUAACCUCAUAGGCAUGGAGAUCUCUCAAGUUCCUGGCCAGUCAGAGAACUACAUUUUUAGACACAAAGAACCACUCUCCCUAGAAGUGGGACUCUGGGGCAGAAGGUGCCAUCACCUUUUAGGUGACAGCAACAGUAGUUCCUUUGUGAGCCUUUUACUGGCCCUACUUACUGCUCCACAGUCAAAUCUGUCCCUGCACCGAGGCCUGGGUAGCUCCGUCCCUUACACAGGUGCCAACAUAGCUUUCGCCAACCUCUCAAUUUCCAGUCUUCAGCCACUUUGCCGAGUAGCAAAGUGAAAAUGAUUCUUUCUGUGGCUCAUUGUGUCUUUUCAUAUUUUUCCUAUCCUUAGAUAGGUCUCAAUCUUUCUAAUGCUAUGACCCUUUCAUGUUGCGGUGACCCCCAACCAGAAAAUUAUUUUGUUGCUAUGUCAUAACUAUAAUUUUGCUACUGUUAUAAAUAUUUACUGUGACCUGGCUAAGAGGGUUGUUGGACCUCCAAAAGGAUUGAGCCCAACAGGUUGAGAACAAUGCCUUGGAAUUGACUCUGUCUCAGGCGUUUUUUCCCUCUCUUUUCUCACUCCUUACCCCCACACUCCAGCAUUUAUAAACUCUUGUCUUUGAAAACUCAACCUUUUCUAGGCCCCUCAGUUCUGAAGGGCUUUGUAAUAAGUCCAUGUAGAACUUUUAGAUGAGUUAUCUUGAAUGUUAUUUUCUUCCCUAAAAUGAUCCUUAAUCCCAGAUGGAGGUUACAGCAAAAUGUUCCUUCAUUGAGACACUUGGGCCCCUCUUAACAAUGCUGUAGUCUGCCAGACAGGGGACUGCAUCUGGAGGUCUAGCCUGGGCUCUACAUAACCAGUUCAGAUGCACCCUCUUUAGGAGGCUGAUCCCUGAGGGUAGGGUAAGCAAGCCCCUCGUUCUCCACACACGCUUCCUUUCCCUGCAUCUCUUAACAGGAUCUUUUGAGGCUGGGAUAAAGGAGACGUGCAGAGACUAGUUCACUGAGCUUUCUAGAACCUACCAUGGAGAUGUGAUUCUCACAUGGGAAAAGAAUGUAUCCACACUGCCAUCUAUGUCCCAGACUGAACACAAGGUCAAAAUGGAGCUAUUUCAGUCUCUGUAAACAAGAGCUUUAGCUAGGAAUGGAGUUCAAACCUUGGAAUGUGUUAACAAGGACAUUUAAACAGAAUCCAAAGACAUCCGGGAACACAAAGCACCACAGAGAGGGACAGCAGGCUGGGGUGACUAGGGGCAGAUUCUUUUCAGAGUCUUUUGGGAAAGGGGGCCCAAGAUCAGCAUGUAAAUGAUCUCCAAAACCCAGAGUAAACAGAUGGCAACAUGGCUCUGCAAAAGCCAGCCAGACACCUGCUCACAAGCAGCUCCUGAAGGUUGUUCUGCUUCAAGAACAGGUUAAUGAAUGUGGUGGUUGGGGGUCACCACAGCAUGAGCAAGUCUAUUAAAUAAGGCUGAGAACCACUGUCUUAUAAAGUACAUACAAUCCUAAAACAUCUGACUUCACCUGGUUUUGAUGUGUGAGCUCACUAGGGCACUUUGCUGACUGACGGCUGGAGGAUGUAGCAAGAGAACUGUCUGGGCUUCUACAUGGCUAAGCCACACUGCUGGCCAGGACCAGGCACCACAGAAGGAAUGAAAUUCACCUCCUUAUUUAGGCUACAGCAUGAAGUGUCCCUGGCAUUCUGCUAUCCACAGCCAAUUUCUGCAAAGUCAUGAGAAGCUGCCAUAUGAGGUAGCAGAGGGCAGGCGUCUGUCUGUUCAUUAUAUUCAUGUAAAGCCUCCUGCUGAGGGCCAGGCUGGGACACACCUGUAAGUUCAGCACUUGGAAGGCUGAGGGAUGGAGGAAGAUCCCAAGUUCCAUGCUGGCCUGGGCUGUACAGUGAGAAUCUGCCUUCCCAACCACACUAAACUGAAACUAACUGAGGCAGUGACAGCUACCGGCGGAAAGACGGGCUGUCAACUUACCAGCCGGAAAAGCACUGCCAGAGAGGAGCCCCGAGAGAGUCCCACAGUCACACUCAUCCUGAUUUCAGAAGACCCUCAUAAAAACAUCCCCUGGUAGAGAAAUGGCUUCACUAUACUUCAUGUAAUUGUUCAGAUAAGAAAGGAACAUAUACAUUAUGUCUCAGAUUUCCAACAAACUUCUAAUUUCAAACCGAAGGCUUGGGAAGUGAAAGCGAGGAAAAUACUUCAUUUACGUAUGAGAUUCCCCAUAGGUCAUGAUGCCAGCCUUACUUGAGAAGGUCAUGGUGUGACUUAUUGUCAGUCGUGGGGGUGGGGGAACACAGAACUUUUCCAGUGCUAGAGAGGCUGAGGCAGGAAAAUCAAGAUUAAGGCUAGUCUGGGCUACAUAGUAAGAUACUGUUUCAAAACAAAAGCACCCACCAAUAAACCCAAGAAACAGAACUACCUAUUAUUAACAUUCUGGCGGACCUUAAGUGGUUUGUGGCUGUGGAAGGGCCUGCCGGAUAACUGGAAAGGGUUGUAUGCAGGCACCAUGGGCCCUUGCAGAGGCUGUGUUUCCAGGAGAUACUGGUGCCCAUCCUGCCCACACUGGUUGCCACCUGACUUUGGCACUCACCAGCAAGCUCCAGUUUUGCAGAACAGCUGGAUGACAGUCGCCACCAGUGAAGACCGCAUUAAUACCCACAAGACAGAUUGCAGCCGCCAUCACACACCCGAGACCUGGGUGGACAGAGAGAUCUGUUAACUGCAUAUGGUAACCUUUUCCAUGGGUCUCAUGCUGCCCUGGAUCAAGCUGACCAGUCUGCACUGCUGGGGCAAGGAGCUGAGCGUAGCUGUCACUGCACAAGGACCUUGCAAGCAGCACAGAAUGCUUGCAGACAGGAAAGUGAUCUUGGGACUUAGAAAAAUAUGAGAAGGCCACUGGGACAGAGGUGUGGGCACAGAAAAGUUGCUGGGGUAAGAGCCGUCGUACCUGAGGUUAUCUGUCUAGCCUGUGGGGAUGCUGCCCCUGGAGUUACAGUGUGGGAAUUCUACGGCCCCUGCUAGACCCCAAAGCCUGCCAACCAGAUCAUGAGAUUUUAAGUCCACACAGACUUAAGACAGUCACCAGUUCCAGGGGCUGCCUCAGACCUAACAGCUUCAGACAGCGCGAGAGCCCUGUCAUUAAGGUCUGCUAUGAGCAGGAAGCACAUCUGACUGUCUUGGAGUGCCCAAGGUGCUAAGAGUCGUGAAACAAAUGUUACUGGCUGUCUCAUCUUUAAUAUACUUGGCAACUUGGCUGGCCCAGCUGGGUUCUCCAAAAUUCCGCAUGCCAAGAACGGAGUCCAGCUCCAUGAGUAUGACCAGCGAAGAUCCUACUGGAGUGCUGUUUCCACAUGCUCACUGAUACCUUCUAGACUCAGGCUGUUUCUAGCUCAGAGGGCUUCCUGUCUGGUGCUCUGGAAUUCCAUGUGAUGGGAGUGCACGUGGAAUCUGUUCUUUCUAGAAUUAGGGGUGAGUCUGUAGGACAGGCUGCCUAUCUUAUUAGAAUAAAUGGGAAAGAUUUCACUACAGAAACAUUCAAGGAGUAGGUAAGAUUCUGGUUUCCUAGUAGAAGCUAGGUUAUUUGAGGAGAGAAAAAUACCUGAUUUCUCCCUCACCUUUGUCACACCCUCCACAGUGACCAAGGGUGCCCCCCAAAGACUUGCUAAAGUAGCAGGCCCAUGGGGCCUCCUGAGGUUGCCAAGCUGCCCUGAGUUUUGUGAAUGCCCACUGUUGCUGAAGUCACACUGGUGGCUGACUCCCUCAUGACUUCUGGAUUAUGCUAAGCAGGAGGACUAACCCUGGCCCUAUGUUCAUCAGAACAUGGGGCUUGGCCAGCAAGCUGUGCACACCAGGGCUCACGGGUGGCGGGGGGCAAAAGAAAGUCAUCACAGACAGUAAAGUGAUGAUCACCAGCCAAGCAGUGUCCCAGAAGGUUCAUUUUCCAUAUCUUGCUGAAAACCCCCUGCACACCCUCCAAAACUCAGAAGAGGCACAGGAACCGGAGGGUGGGGCAGAGGCUGGUUGGGUAUCCCGCUCUCAGCAUAUAGUCUAACACAUGGCCACCAUCUUCAAACUUAGAGGGACAGCAAUACAUGGAACAGGUCAAGGGACAGGCUGCAGCUUUUGUGUACGUGUCUAUCAGGGAGCCUGGUAGUCAUGGUGGGAGCAAAAGUGCUGGGCUUCAGAUUACAGGGUUUAGGAAUCUGGGACUGCAGUAUCUGGCAGGACAGAGGUUUGCAGCCUUGUAACAUACAUGUAACCACAACAGACCUAGGCUAGCAGCAGUAAGAGCCAGACCCCUGUGUACCUGUUGAGAUGACAAGGAGGAGUCUCUCAGAAGACUUUCCCUGAGGCCACAGGUCACUGUCCAGGCCCAUCUACUUUUUUUUUUUUUUUGGUUUUGGUUCUGGUUUUUCAAGACAGGGUUUCUCUGUAUAUUCCUGGCUGCCCUGGAACUUGCUCUGUAAACCAGGCUGGCCUCAAACUCAAGAGACCAAGACUUCCACCCUCACCCCUGGGUGCUGGGAUUAAAGGUAUGCACCACCACUGCCCGGCUCCAUCUACUUUGAUUUAGCCACGGGAGAGGCGAUAGGAUUGGAGUAGUUGCAUUUCUGGUACAGAGGGGUCUGCUGGGCAGGAUUUGGACGGCUUGGCAGACCUGCUUCCUACAUGGAGCCUCACAAGCUGUUGCACCCCAGCAAUUGACCUCCUAUUCCUACCAGACCUCACGGUCCCCACCACACUGGGGUCUAUUUGACCUAUUGUGCCCAUUUUACUACUCCAUCCCCCUCCUUAGCACGCUGCAGGUGUUCACUGAAUAUUUACUGCGGUAAGUAGAAGUACAAAGGGAAGGUCAGUCACAAGGACAGCUCUAUAGUCCUGGCUUCUGGGUACACUGCAAUGUGGAGCACAGCACUGGGUGUCUCCUGAGGGGGAGAGCAGGGAGAUUGCUACACAUCAGCCUGCAUGAAGACCCAGCUGCAAAGACAAGGACGGACUAGGCUGUUCCCCCCAAACAAGAUGUAGUUUGCAUAAACUGCUACAAGUUCCAGCUAUUUUAUCUCCCACUGUUCUCUCCGCUUUGCUAAGGCUGUAACAACACGUGCUUACAAUUCUACGCCAUGGUCCUGGUCAAAGGCCAGAAACUUCACAAGUUCCUAAGAAUAUUAUCUCAUCCCACACCAAUUCCCAAGCUCUCAAAUAAUUGUUUAACUAUAUUUGGAUAUCCAACGAGGAAAGCCAUCACUUCUACUUGCAAGGCACAACAGAAAACUUAUUCAUGCUCUCUUGUUCUUGAUGGAGCUGGGAAACUGGUAAUUUUCAAAACGUUAGUUUGUCUCCCAAACAUUAUCAUAGUUCUCUGUCACAUGGCUGGACCAUCACCAACACUAGUGAUGGGGUGAUUGAACAUGUAGACAGACUAAACUCAACUACCUACUACACGCCAAGUGGACAUCAGCACCCUUGGCCCCUCUUCCAAAGGUCUUCCGCACGCCACCGAUGAGAGCAAACCCACAGACCCUUCUCCACAGGCUGAGCCCAGGGCACCCUGAGCAGUUGUUCUGUGCAAUACUGUGUCCACGAGGCUCCCACGAGAAUGCAGGUACAGCCCACACUUACACAAAGAGUAAAGAGAUGUCUAGUUUAGUCAUUUAUUACACGCGAGCACCAAAGAGUUAAAAGCGGACAAACUAGAGAUCUCACAGGCUGCCAGGCAUGCAUGGCACACUGUACGCCUAUAAGUCCAACACUUGAGAGCCAGAGGCAAGAUGAUCUCAGGUCUCAGACCAGCCUGCUACAUGAGACGUCUCAGAGAGCCUAACACAGACACCCGAAGGCCUCUUCUGCAGCAGGCCAAGAGCUGUCCAGAAUUUGAAGGACAGCAUUCAACCCUCUGUAACAUCAGGGGUGAUGGUAUGCUGUUUGGUACUGACAUCCCUAUUGCCUCCUGUGGUAGGGAGUUGGCCACCUGGCCAGCACUAGCCUUUCUGAUGUGCUUUCGUCUGUGUUUCUAUUAGCUCAUCAACACCAGUGUUUCCAACUCUGUUACACAUUCUGCAAGAUUACACAGCUUGGGUUAUUAGCUGACUUGGGAAGGACUUUAUCCAAGACUCUGGAAGGAGCUGGAAUGAUGGCUAUACGUGUCUAGCUCCACACGACAGUACUGGGCACCGCUCCCCAAGUUUCUUCCAGACUAUCCCCACCGGACACAUACCCCAAGAGUUCACACACCAGCCAAGCUCUGGCCCGUGGCCAGAGCUGAGAAGUCAGCUCAGAAGAGACGACUUGUUUUCAAUAGAUGCCACACUGUUUGGUUCGGGUCUUUCUAGGGCUUUUAGAAUCUGUGUGUCGAUGGCACCCUGUUUUGGAAGCUGCUGCCACCACCACUGGCCCUCUGACUGCUACUUUUUUUUUUUUUUUUUUUUGGGUUCUUUUUUUCGGAGCUGGGGACCAAACCCAGGGCCUUGCGCUUCCUAGCCUCUACCACUGAGCUAAAUCCCCAACCCCGACUGACAGCUACUUUAAUGGGUCUGUGAGAAAUAAGGAUUUGGGGGAAAACAUGGCCAUGCUAGUACAAAGCAUGUGGUCUUUUAAACUGGAACCCAUACACACAAAGACUUAUUUCUUCCUUUAAGCUUAUAUAAACAGCAAAAUAAACCAAAGAGAAGCCCUACCUUAGACUUUGUGUCAUCAUCACUGGCUGACUUGUCCACCAGCUGAACGCAGUGUUCUCAGAGCGCCUACCACUGUGGACAGAAGCCACGUGGCUCUCCUGCCACGCCGAGUACACUAUAUGGAUUCCAGCUGGAUGUUCCUAACAGGACCCAAGCCUGCUCCUCCGCCUGCUCGUCUCCCUUCCUCAUUCAUAAAACACUAAGCAAGAAGCUCCUGGGACUGGAUCACUUAGAAAACGUCAUUUUAGUCAGAAUUCCCAUCAAGUUACAUACAGUUCAGAAUUAGGGUGCCUCCUGCUUAGUCAGAAAUUCAGUCAAGGUGCUAAACUACAGAAGGCAGUGUGGGUUUUCUCUUUGAAUUGACAAGAGACAAUUCACCUGACUGUUGUCUGAACUGCAGGUAGGCCUAACCCGGCACAAAGAUGCUACUGUAGGACACCGCUUUUAACCACACUUAGGGGCAGGUCUUAUGACCAAGAUGGCCAACAAGAAACAAACUCAAUGGCAUUUGUGUUGACAUUUUUGUGUCAUAUUGCUUUGUUUGGGUGUUUGUUUUAAUGGAUGGUCCUUUGUAUAUUAUAGUUUUCAUUUUUUUUUUUUUAAUGACAGGAUUUGUGUCUGUGUUUCUUGUGUCUUUUUUAAAUUCUAGUUUGGUUUCUAUUCAUUUUCGAUUAGGAGGGUGGGGAGGUAGGAAGGGGAACCUAUGAACAGAAAUAUAUUUGGAAAAAAUUCAAGUUCAAUAAACGGAAAAGGGAACAUAUAUAUAUAUAUACAUACAUAUACAUAUACAUAUAUAUAUAUAUAUAUAUACAUAUAUAUAUAUAUGAAUAAAGUGAGGGCUGGAGAGAUGGCUCCGUGGGUAAGAGCACUUGUUGCUCUUGUCCAGGACCUGAGUUUGGUCCCAGAACACACAUGGUGGCUCACAACCACCUAUAGCUCCAGUUCCAAGGAAUCCAACACCCGCUUUUGGGCUUUUACUAUAUGCAUGUAGUGUGCAUGCAUGUGUGUAGGCAACACCAGGACCUCAUACAUGUAAGGAACAAAUUAAAAAAAUGAAAAAUCAUUUUUGUGGGUUUUCCUGUCUUAAAGCAGGCCUUGGCAUCAGCACCUCUGCCUUCUGUACAAAAACUUCUGUAUUUGAGUGCAUGAUGGGUCCUGAUGUAGACGUUGGAGGAUGUUAGGAGCAGGAGAAGCACAACCGAGUUCUCAAACCCCCGGAUGCCUGGUCCACAGGCCCCAGCACUGCUGCUGACACAUGGAACUGAGUCCCCCAGUGAGACUCAAGCCAGGCUGGGCCUGCUCCUCACGUUCCCACACGAAUGCAGGAGAUAUGCCCACGUUCUUCCUGCAUGGAGGAAACUGCGGAUUACAGACAUCCAUCAAGAAUGGGCUAGGUGUGCAGACCGACCUUCCCCUAGGGUACUUACACAGCCUCAGCAGAACUGCCGGGACUUCCAGCCCUGGGAAGUAGCCUCGGAGGGAGGGAGCCAGCGCAUCUGAAAAGACAGGAAAAGCUGUGAGCCAGAGGUCCCCACCUCAUUCUGGGUCUUCAGACCCCCUCGUUGCUCCAAGAUGGGUCAAGUCACAAUGGCCCAGUGGCAUUUUCUGCCCAGGGUAAAGAAGUCCUACAGUAGCACCCUCAAUCUGUAUGUGCCCUAUGAACUCCAGCCAAACUCACUGGGCAGCCCAUUCCGGCCAAUAUUGACGCUCUGCCAAUUCCCCUUCCUUUUCAGAGGUCACAGCCAUUAGAGGCCAUUAUAGAUUCUCCUCUCUGUACUCCCCAAGCUGGGGAGACUAAGUUAAAAUAUAAACAAAGGGAGGGGCAAUUCAUGACCCCUCUUGAGGCUGGCCUGGCUGGAAUUGAACUUGGGUCAGCUUCCUGGUAUAUUGUACCACGCUAAGCAAAAGCUGAACAACAGAGGGCAAGCACAUUUCAUUCUCAAACACCCAUCCACUGACAAUGCCAGUUUUCUCUAUAACCUGUUGGGCAGAAGAAGGCAUGCUUACCAAUGGCCGACCCACCAUUCUUUUUUACUUUUUGAGACAGGGUCUCCCGUAGCCCAGGCUAGCCUCUUACUCAUGAACUCCUGUUCCUUGUCUCUACUUCCAAAGAGCCUGGCUUACCAGGCUAACUCCUCCCACUGAGCAUGAAGAGCAACACAGAAAAUGCUCCUGGGGGCAAGGACUAUGUAAAUGACAGCAAAGCUUGGGAAGUAGGGGAGGGACCUUAACAGGAAGGUUUACAGAGGUUCCUUAAACAUCAAGAGGAAUGAAGCAGGAGCCACUCUGGCUGUGGUUGGGGGUACAACUGGGCCAGAGGCAACUUGCAGAAACCCUAUGAAGAUUCGGAACUGGGGGGGCUAGUGGAAAACUUCCCCUUUCUCUCUUUCACAAGGGUGGGAAACAAGCUGCCCCAGAAUCCACCUCAGAAGGCAGAACCAGGGUCCAUUAGGUCCUGCUAACUACCUGGUCCUAAAGGCUGAGAAGCCGAGGAAUUGGGUCCUAGGGAGAAGCUCAUUUUUGCCCCAGUCCCUAAGCACUCCCUGUGGUUUCCUUCUGACUCAAAGACCCCAGGAAGAGGCACACUGGGGAACUCCACUCCAACUGGGCUAGAGUUCUGGUCUGCGCUGCCACACAUGUAGCCCUGAAGAAACCAAGGCAAACUCUGAGGAGAAGUGUCCACUUCUGCUACAUCAGAAUCUACCUCAGGUAUCCCUUGGGGCAUCUUAUACACCUCGAGGACGUCAGAUGUUAUUUCCAGAGGCUCAGAACCUGUGAGGGUAAAGCCAUUGCCUGGGAGUCAUCGGAGCCUCGAGAGAGCCCUAGGCACCUCUCCUAUCACUCACAGCAGGAGGAACUGAGUGACCCGACACUUAUCCUUGGAGACAGCCUAAAUACCCCACACCGAUUGUCUGUAAAGCAGUAAGACUCACAAACAGACAGACGAACAGACAGACAAGAGGGGAUGAUGUGGAGAGAGGUGGGUUAGGAAGGCAGGAGGGUGGAAAGUCCGAAGGCAGAAGAGACAAGUACCUACCCUUGGCUCAGGAUUCUCCUCAGUCCGUUUGCUCACUAAGCAGAGAGCACAGCUGGAGCUGCCUUCCUGAGACAGCUGGGGAAGGGCAGCCUCGGGGCCAGAGCCCUCCGGCAAGGGACGCUGGGGACCUAAACCCAAAAUGGUCCAUGUGCACUGGGUCAGUGUGGAGCAGUGGUGGUGGUUGUGCGGCCUGGGUGUGGGGUGGGGAUGUAAGGCCCCGAGUCCAACAUGGAGUAGUGGUCACCAAGGGGGUCACAGGGAGGGGCUGGCAGGGAGGACAGUGAGCUGCAGGGGAGACAGCAUGGGUCUGAGACUGGUGAAGGUGACUGAGAAAAAGAGGCCUCCUUGCUGUCUGCCACUCUCUUGAUCCAGUGCUCCCCACCCUCCAUUGAGAGCAAGUGACACACACACACACACACACACACACACACACACACACACACACACACACCCCCUUCCUCCCUCUCUCUCAAUCACGAAUGGAGGAUGGAGAAAAGAUGAACUCCCAAAUCUGCCUUCCAAGACAUCGUGGCUCUUGCUGCUUUCAGACACCAGAGGCACCCACCUUCCAGCGGGGGGGCAGUGGAUGCCAGGUCAAACUGGGCACCUUCCUGUUCUUGCACCCACAGAGGGGCAGAGUCCAAGGGGCAUAGCCAGGAAUGCAGGCAGCUGGCCCAGGAGAACAAGCUGUUUUGUGCUAAUCACGGCUGUUUGGAGGAUGGCAAGGAGAGGCUUCACCUUUCCUCCCAUUUAGGCUGUUUGUUCUGCUGUAACUUUGGCCCAGGUCAACUCCCGUCCAUGCCCUGGAGGCUUCCUGAUUUCUCAUUAUCACUGCCUGCAGGGGCCACAGGCUUCCCCAGACUUGCUCAAACUCAACUCUUCAGAAACAGUUGAGGACAUACAUUGUAGCCAUGGAAGAGAAGCUGGCUUACUUAACAGUCAUCCUGGUGAUUUCCGCACUAUCAACAGAACACACACACACACACACACACACACACACACACACACACACACACACACACACACACACACACACACCACUCUUACAUGCCUACAUACAAUUCCAGGGGUUUGAGGCUUCCAUGAGAACUUCUAACGAAAUACUUAGCUCACACAAACCCUGUCUUAGUUUGCGCCAGGCAGAGACAGUGUCAGGUGAACCAGGCUGAGAAGCCUAGAGGCCUGGAAGAUUUCUGAGUAACAGUGAUUCAGUUCACUGCUUGGUGCCACACUGUGUGGCCUCUACCAUCACACUCUACUUCUCAUCCCAAGGUGACUUUGUCAGACUCCAAUAUCCCAAAGUGGUGACAGACCAGAUAGGAAGAGCGUAGAGAUAGGAGAUACCCGGGGAGUAAAUAAUCGGAAGGGAAAAAGAAAUCACGCCAGAGAUAGUAAAUUCUCCCAAGAUAUGGAACAGAACGGGACACCUAAGCACCACACAGAAUUUAUGGUUCCCAUGGUGAGGCCAAGGACAGAAAGGCCCGAUGCCUCCAGGGUGGGACUCAAUGCACCAUCCCUGGCACAUCUGUGCACCGAGCUACACAGGGCAGGGCAGGUCUAACGGUCACUGGCUCCGACUGUCCUCUCUUUAGUGACGGAGUCUAUUAUCACUGUCCUCUUUAGAUUCUAACAGCCAUGAGGAAGGCUGCCGGGCACACCGAUCAGUAGUGAGCAGACAUCUUUGGUGGCUUUUUCCUCUGGUCCACCAGGCUCACUUAGCUUGGCCUUUCAGAAAUGUGGUCAUUCUAGGGCUAGGGUCAUCUAAAACAAUCAGACGCUGUUUAUUUCAUGAAUUCGUCUCUCUCUCUCUCUCUCUCUCUCUCUCUCUCUCUCUCUCUGUGUGUGUGUGUGUGUGUGUGUGGGGGCAGCCUGGGUGAGUGGGCGGGCUCCUGGUUCCACCACCAGGCCUCGUGGCAAGGACUCUUGCUUGCUGACUGACCCAUCUCACUUGCAUUUGAAGUGCUCACCCAGAUGUGAGGUAGUACUCUUGACUUAGAUCUUCAAAAGUGUGCCGGGAACAAUACUUAUCUAGAAAGGCUCUCCAACCCAGAAAGUUUCGAGAGCAACACACAGUGUCUUCAGGUUGACUGACACAAAGCAGUGUGUGAAAGGUUUGGCCGAGAUACGGAGGGACUUGUUCCGUUACUCCUUGGGCAUCCCAAGGUCAUCUGACUGCAAAACUGUUUGAUUCUCUGCCAGCUACUGAUACCCAUAGAGCUGGGAGAAGCCAGUGUGGGGCCCGGUCAGUGGUAAAGAGGUGGAUCUAGGUGGCUGAGGUGUGAACAAUGUGUCAUCCAAACUUCCUGGUCUAUUCGCUGCGGAACAGACCCCACUCCCUUUGACUGAUACCCCGAAUUCCAUUCCUGGUCCACAGUGUAAGUUCAUCAUCAUCUUACUCAUCCUAGCACCUGCAGAAGAACCAAGUGAGAACUUCUUGGCUAUAGCCAAAAGCUGGCUUAUACUAUAAUCCCAGCACUGGAGAGGCUGAAGCAGGAGGAUUACUGUGACUGAGGCUAGCCUUGAAGGCAUGGCAAGCACUAUCUCAAAAUACCAAGAAGACGCAGCUGGAGAAGGCUGGUUCUUCAAAGAUACCAGGAUGACAGUACGUUGGUCACUGGCUUGUGAACCUCACAAUGGAGGUCCUAGGACCACAAGUCCCCUCUUCAAAGACCAAUCACGCCCCGGGGACCAAGAACAAGCUAAGCCCUUGGGGCUCUCUUUCCUGAGUCUCGGUCUUUCUGGCUAUUCUGAACACAAGUUUGGUUCCUGUUUCCAGAGAGGUGUGUGAAAUGUGCUUCCACAUCUCCGAGUUCACUGAGACGCCACUCGGUUGAGGGCAUCCGAGUGUGUAACACCCUGCGUCAGAUUCAGUCCAUAGUGGCAGCUUACCAUCCGCAUUUAAUCAUGUCAGCUUGUUAAUUUUUAACUAUGUUUGCUAGCAAGGGCCAUUAGAGAUCCCUGGGCGCUGAGCUCAGUGAAGCGAGCAGGGCUCGUGCACAAUGUAUGAAGCUUAAAGUUGGGGUGUCCCAUUUUCCUAUCCUGUCACUGGGCUCUGGCCAUCCACACUGGCAGCACAAACUCUGAAUAAAAUAUGAUGCCAUUUGGAGUCAAUUUUCCUUUUGCUCCCGUCAAAACUUAUUUUCUUCAAAGAGAAAAGUUCACUUUCUCCUUUUAUGAAGCUGGUGCUCGAUAAUUACAAAGUUUCAUUGCGGCUCUGGGUUGGUUUCCAAAACUCCAAAGUCACUUACUGAAUGUACCUAGGAGCUUGUGCCUCGGGGAGCAAUCCAUGGUGGAACCCCAAAUGUCACAAAUUGGGGACUUGGGAGCCUUGCCUCAAGAAGCAACUAGAACCUACAAUGGACCACAUGGUGCCUCUCUUGUUCACACCACAAGCUCCGGGCGGUCGUGCCCACUCUUUCUGUGACCCCCACAACCAAGCACAAAGGCUUCACUCACCAGGUCCUACUCUGCAGAUUCCUCCCGCUCACCGAGGUACUUGGGAGCCUCUAGUAACACCAGGCUACGUUCUGACAAAGGCAAGGUGUGGAGAGGCUCUUUAGUGAGUUCUGAAUGCCACACAUAUUUGCAUUCAUCCUCUCAAAUUAACGGUCUGUGACAGAUGUUCAUUCCUCUGUUUAUACAGAAAGAAAUGGAGGCCCAGGAGGAUGAAAGAAACUUGCCUAAAAUGUCAAAUUUAACAGACUGGGUAGCAACCAUCAUUAAAGAAGAAUCCUGUUCGCCGGGUGAGCUAAAUGGUUCAGCAAACAGAGCACUGGCCGUGAAAGCCAGAAAACCCAAGUUCAAACCCUGGAGCUCACAGGAAGGUGGAGAGAGAGAGAACUGACUCCACCAAGCUGUCCUCUGACCUCAGGUGUGCAGUACAGAUGUCCAAACACACAAUCACAGACACACACAAGUGGUGGUGUGCCUGCAAUCCCCACACUCGGGAGGCCUCUACAGCAGAAGGAUCAUAAAUUUGAGGAUGGCCUGGGCCAGAGUAAGACCUUGUCUCAAGAACCAAACAAUAAAAUUACUGUUGAUUUUCUUUUUGGGAAACUUGUGAACUUGAAGCAGUGACCUUCCUACUUCUAGGUCCUGAAUGCUGGUGUCACAGCCAUGACCUUAGCUCAGAGAUGUUGACAGUGACGACAAGGUCACUGACAGCAGCAGAGUCCCUGGGCUUGAAUCACAGCUCUGAAGGGUAACGUUCCAAGGUGCCAGACAUGCCUGGAGCCAGGAGACAGAACCCACAGGCCUUUCUGUGUGGAUCUCUAGGCACCAUGCUGUUCUCUGGGGUUCCCAGUGUCCUGGUAUUGGCUGUGGGGGGAAUCAUGUUAGAGGUGGCACUAGCAGUUGAGGAAGACACUGCGGGGUGCUGCUGUCCCAGGGCAGCAGUGAGACACCUGUCACCUGAUAACGCAUCUCUCCCUGCCUGUCACUUUUCCGGUCUUUGGCUUUGGUCUCAGGGCUCGGCAGGCAGGAGAGGUUUUUGCUACUGCUGUCUUGUGGGAAGCUUGGGCUGAGUCCCUUUCUGUGCAGAAAAUUCAAACAUUCCUUAAAAAAGUCACCUUGAAGUGCUAAACUUGGGUAGGGGGGGUAGAGAGGGGAUGGGGUGGGGGGUGAUAGAGAAGAGGGGACGGUUUGUAAAACACAACUCGGGUGAAAUGCUCUUCUAGAAUGCUCUAUCCCUAGUACUGGGGGGAAAAAAAGCAGCAUAAAAACCCAAACAGCAAGUCACUCCGAUGUAUCAGACAUUACUAAUGCUUUAUAACCAAGACUCUUAGCCCCACCAUCUUGAAGCUCUGAGAUGUUUAGAGCUGAGAUUGCACAGCUGUCACAGGGUCCUGCACCACUCACUGCCUAAAGGAGGGCCUCAGGCAGAAAAGGGAUUUCGACCUGAACAGCCGAGUCGAGCAAUACCUUCUCCUAUAACCCCAACCUCUACCACAGACUGCUGGACUUCCCACUCCAGAAAGCCUGCUGGGCGCAGAAGAGUGGCAUUUUGUGGGGGUGCUCUCCCCAACACGGCCUUACAGAGCUGCAAGGUCGGGGGAGAAGUUGAAAGCGAAAAGCGCCCCGGCCACCGUUCAGCAAAGCCUGGACUUCCCUCAGCCCCUCAGGGACAGCAAGUGUUCAAGGACAAGCUAGGGCUAUGAGAUGAUCUGUGGGUCAUAGCAGUACACACCCCAAGUUCCCAGGGCCUACCCUGACCUCUGAGAAAGGCUAUUACUAAGGUAUUUAAACUCCUGCUGGGGGUCAGAAGGCCCAGUUUAGCCAACACAACACAACUUGCUACUGCUGAGCUAGAGAGAGUGUGAAACCUUGGCCAAACCAUGUUGAUUGUCACCAGGUACCAGAUGGUCUCCCAGGGUCCUCAUCCCUGUCCAUAAACCCUUGUGCUCUGAGGCACACCUUGGGUGUCCAAGCCUGAAGUCUAUGUCUCGUUCUCUGUUCUCCACAGGGCAGUGGUUACUGACAGCAAGAUGAUUAUUAAAACAAACAAAAUCUUAA